Molecule: long non-coding RNA, 315 nt
Organism: Xenopus tropicalis (tropical clawed frog)
Lineage: Eukaryota; Metazoa; Chordata; Amphibia; Anura; Pipidae
Exons: 3
Source: RefSeq, a predicted model, not a curated record
GGAAUUUCUGGAAAUAAGAACCAAGAGAUGGCAGACGAGUGCAGGAUAUUCUUCUAAACCAGAUGCAGAUUAAAUGAAUCUUUCCUGCGGCAUAUUUCUCUGUGUGUUAUUUGUUUGUUCCAAAUCUAAAAGAAACCACGCUACUCUAAUGAAAAGUAUCUGAUGUAUAGAACUCCAACAAAAAUGUGCCAUGUAAAGGCUGUCAAGAAGUGCUUCAACAAAGAUUGUGGAUAUAAACCAGAUCAAACCAGGAGACCAAAGACCACCUGAGUGCACAUUGAUUCUUCAUCUGAAACGUUCCAUUUCUGAGUAACA